This is a long non-coding RNA of Triticum aestivum (bread wheat), 2194 nucleotides long. RefSeq lists it as uncharacterized. NCBI's taxonomy places the organism in Eukaryota, Viridiplantae, Streptophyta, Magnoliopsida, Poales, Poaceae. The transcript is spliced from 2 exons. The record is from RefSeq and is a predicted model, not a curated record.
GUGGCCUGGUUCAAUACACAUGUACGCACACCAUGGUUGGGUUCAGCCCAACACGUACGCACGCUGGCUAGAGUAUUCCAGAAUGCGCACACGCACUCGACUCUAUCUCUCGCUCAGCUCUUUUCCUCUCGUACUUCUCUCGCUCGAUCCCCGCUGUCGCCGCCUGGGUCGCCGGCCGAUUCUGGCCGCUCCGGUGAGCUCCGGCGCCUCCCAGCACACCCAUUGCUGCUCCUUGGCGAGCUCUACCAGCUCCGCCGCAUCGAUCUACUUUUCCUCCCUCCUGUGGUCGUCCCCAACUAUUUCCUCGCUAGGGUUCCGGUGGUGGAGGCGGGUCUUGUCGCCGACGGCCCUUCGGGCGUCGCGGGGUUUCAUCCGGCACCUCCAGCGGCUCACCCCAGGCGGGUCUUGUCGCCGACGGCCCUUCGGGCGUCGCGGGGUUUCAUCCGGCACCUCCAGCGGCUCACCGUGAUGCGUUGGUGCCCCUGGGGUGGCGUCUCCGUGCGGUGAUGCCCUCGGGGUGGCGCCACCGUGCCCGGCGCUCGCCCUGGUCGUCGUGGUUGUGCUCCGGCGGCCUCCAGACCCUCUCCUGGAUGUGGUGAUGGUCACACCACAACCGUUGUGUGGCUGAGCUACAGCUAUGGCUACAAUCUCCCUCUGGUGAGGUCCUCCCGGUUCCUUCUCCAUUGAUUUUGCUCAUGCAUGGCCUUGGCCAUGAUUUGGGUUGGAUGUGGGAUUCUACUAGUUGCUGCUAGAUGUUGUAAUCAAGCAUCAACUCCUACUGGAGCUCUCUGGUGAUAAAUUCAUGCCGUUCUAGGGUCUGUCAGUAGCUGCCCAUGUGUAUUUGCUUUAUUUCUGUGCUCACGUGAUGGUCUGGUGGUAUAUGAUUGCUCUGGAUUUGCUAAGUUGGUCAGGAGCAAAGUGCUUAAUAUGUUGUUUGCUCCUAUGUGGCUCUGCUAUUCGUGUUAACUGAAGGAUUCUUUAGUUAUGAAGCUCCCUGGUUCGGUACACUAAUCCUAUUGUCUUUGUCUACUUGAUUUCACUUGCUGUACUUCCCACUGCAAGUUGAUUAACUGAAUAUGCUACUCUAGUUCCUGGAGUUGGUUACUUAAUUCUGUCUAUUUCCAUUGGUCCGGCUGACCUUCGGGUAAUAGCUAAUUAUACUUGUUGUUACAGGUUACUGCUAUUAUAUAUACUUACAGCAGCACUGCUAAUGAUACUAGCCCAUGUGCUGGUGGAUGUGGUGUCCUAUUUUCAGAAAAAUACCAUGUGUAAGUGGAGUGCAGUGUUCUGCAGAAGCAGAUAUUCAGUUGGGUGCUAACCUAUCUAUUUCUUCUAUGCUAUCUUUACUCUACUUAAGAAUAGAUACUGCUUCUCUUGGCUAUAUUCUGCUUUCUUGUCUAUUUUUCUAUCCCUCUCUCUUCUAUUAAACUGAUAAGAACAGAUGUUGCCUGAUCUUAUUGCUUAUGAUGCUGGUCUGAGGCCUCUCUGGGUUCUAAAGUUAUUUUUGUGGCUCCAAGAACUCCUACAAAUCCUGUGAUGCAUGACACAACAUUUCUGUGCACGCCUGAGGAUUCCAUCACUCCAAUCCUACCUCUGGUGCUGAGUAGCUUGGUCUCGAGGCUUUGGUUAUCCUUCUUCUUGUGGUUAGCCUGCACCUCCUCGCUGCUUCACACUAAUUCUCAGUGCUCUGGACGGGUGACUCAGCUGUGUGCUUGUUGUGUGUGCUGCUAGUGCUGUCCUUGCGUGAGUCUCUGGUGCUGGUGGUGUUGACAGCAGCUGCUUGCUGUUGUCAAGCUCUCCUUGAUGCCUAUCUUGUAAGCUGAUGGGUGGCUAAUUGCUUGGUUACUUGGUCCUGGCCGGGUGGGUUUGAUCUAUAUCUACUCCUGGCUUUAUUCUGAGGCUGAACAGUGGCUUAUAUCUACUGUCACUUGACAGGAUAUAUGCUACAUACUAAUCCUAACCCACUCUCUCUAGUGUUUAUGGUUGCAGGUUUUGAAGAAAAGAAGAAGAUCAAGAUUAAAAUCAAGAUCUUAGAUAUGAUAGUAUAGGAAGAAUAGAUAAUUUAGUUUAGGUUAUCUUUCCCGAAUUCUUUACAAUCCAAGAAUGUAUUCUCUUAUUAAUUAUUCAUGUAUGUCAUAUGUAAUAUAACUUUGUAAUAUUUAUCCGAUUAUCAAUAAAGCUUUAAUUUUCUUUA